CGCACGGGUGAGUAACACGUGAGUGACCUGCCUUUUAGACUGGAACAACUUACCGAAAGGUGAGCUAAUGCCGGAUGAGUUAUAUAGGUGCAUGUUUAUAUAGGAAAAGUUGGGGAGACCUGACGCUGAAAGAUGGACUCGCGUCCCAUUAGCUAGUUGGUAGGGUAAUGGCCUACCAAGGCGACGAUGGGUAGCCGGCCUGAGAGGGUGGCCGGCCACACUGGGACUGAGACACGGCCCAGACUCCUACGGAAGGCAGCAG
This 262-nucleotide ribosomal RNA is filed under the name uncultured bacterium. RNAcentral's name for it is "partial 16S ribosomal RNA". It matches the Rfam family "Bacterial small subunit ribosomal RNA", at positions 99 to 354 of the family's 1533-position model. The record is from RNAcentral.